GGUAUAAAAGUCGUAACAAGGUCUCCGUAGGUGAACC
Molecule: ribosomal RNA, 37 nt
Filed under: Cladosporium cladosporioides
Lineage: Eukaryota; Fungi; Ascomycota; Dothideomycetes; Cladosporiales; Cladosporiaceae
Description: partial 18S ribosomal RNA
Source: RNAcentral